Molecule: non-coding RNA, 587 nt
Organism: Microcebus murinus (gray mouse lemur)
Lineage: Eukaryota; Metazoa; Chordata; Mammalia; Primates; Cheirogaleidae
Source: RefSeq, a predicted model, not a curated record
CAUUGCUGAGGGUCUUUGCCACCUAAGGGCUUGGAGAGGAAUGAGAAGUGCAUGUCUUCUUGUGGCUGAUAUACUAACACCUGAACAGUUUCUCCUAUUGGAAUGCAACCAGAAGCCAGAAUGCAAGAACAGAAUGAAAGCCUAUUGAUGCAGUUCUUGGAGGUGAGCAACCUGGGCACAGAGCAAGACAGAGGGACAAAGGAAAGACAUCCAGAACAAGAGCACAGCAUGGGCUACUUCUGGAGAACCAUGGAUGCCAUGCAGAGGAGUUAUAAACACUAAUUACCAGGAAGUACAAUGAAUAACACAGCGGAUUGAGUCUUGUGAUAGAAGACCAUAGAUGAUCAAUUUGAUUCUGACACUAUUUACAUGGCUCUCUCACCCAGUCUCCGCACUCAAAAGGAAAAAGGGCUUUGCAGUCACAACUCUCCAUCUUAUGAUUCCUGGUUUGGCUGAUGUAUAAGACAAGACGAGGAAACAGAGUGUGGUCAAGAAUCAUGCAGGAAUCAUUACAUUCUCUGAGUCUGCAGUUCCCAAACCCCAGGCCGCUGACUGGUACCAGUCCACGACAUGUUAAGAACCAGGUC